This 100-nucleotide signal recognition particle RNA is filed under the name Bacillota bacterium. RNAcentral's name for it is "signal recognition particle sRNA small type". It matches the Rfam family "Bacterial small signal recognition particle RNA". Rfam says of the family: The signal recognition particle (SRP) is a universally conserved ribonucleoprotein involved in the co-translational targeting of proteins to membranes. Archaeal SRP consists of a 7S RNA and homologues of the eukaryotic SRP19 and SRP54 proteins. In most bacteria, the SRP consists of a 4.5S RNA and the Ffh protein (a homologue of the eukaryotic SRP54 protein). Lineage: Bacteria; Bacillati; Bacillota. The record is from RNAcentral.
GGCCGGGCCCAGCGCAAGAUACAACAGUGAACCAGGUCAGGUCCGGAAGGAAGCAGCCUUAAGCGGAUACUUUCAUGUGCCGUGGGGGUGCUCGGGUUUG